UGGGGAAUAUUGCACAAUGGGGGAAACCCUGAUGCAGCGACGCCGCGUGAACGAAGAAGGUAUUCGUAUCGUAAAGUUCUUUCCUCUGGGAAGAUAAUGACAGAACCAUAGAAGAAAGCUCCGGCUAAAUACGUGCCAGCAGCCGCGGUAAUACGUAUGGAGCGAGCGUUGUCCGGAAUUAUUGGGCGUAAAGGGUACGCAGGCGGUUUAAUAAGUCGAAUGUUAAAGAUCGGGGCUCAACCCCGCAAAGCAUUGGAAACUGAUAAACUUGAGUAGUGGAGAGGAAAGUGGAAUUCCUAGUGUAGUGGUGAAAUACGUAGAUAUUAGGAGGAAUACCAGUAGCGAAGGCGACUUUCUGGACACAAACUGACGCUGAGGUACGAAAGCGUGGGGAGCAAACAGG
RNAcentral lists this ribosomal RNA (403 nucleotides) under bacterium. RNAcentral's name for it is "partial 16S ribosomal RNA". It matches the Rfam family "Bacterial small subunit ribosomal RNA", at positions 355 to 776 of the family's 1533-position model. The record is from RNAcentral.